ACACCCAGAGGAGGAUGAGGGGGAGGAAGAUAGAAGCUUGCAGCCAGCAGAGACUGCAGGCUGGGAGGACGCCAUUGCUGUUAUGGCACGAGGAGAGCCGAUGGUCCCCGAACUGCCUGCCGAAUCUUCUCUGCGCUCAUGUGCCAGCACGGCCAGUAUGAAGGUCAAGAAUGUCAAAAAACUGUCCCUCACCAAAGGCCAUUUUCCCAGGCUGGCAGAAUGUGCCCACUUCCACUAUGAGAAUGUUGACUUUGGCUCU
Long non-coding RNA from Sinocyclocheilus grahami, 259 nucleotides. RefSeq lists it as uncharacterized. The record is from RefSeq and is a predicted model, not a curated record. NCBI's taxonomy places the organism in Eukaryota, Metazoa, Chordata, Actinopteri, Cypriniformes, Cyprinidae. The transcript has 3 exons.